This 802-nucleotide ribosomal RNA is filed under the name uncultured bacterium. RNAcentral's name for it is "bacterial SSU rRNA". It matches the Rfam family "Bacterial small subunit ribosomal RNA", at positions 28 to 803 of the family's 1533-position model. The record is from RNAcentral.
AACGAACGCUGGCGGCGUGGAUAAGACAUGCAAGUCGAACGAUCACUAUUGGGUAGCAAUAUUCGGUAGUGGGAGUGGCGCAAGGGUGCGUAACACGUGGGUAAUUUGCCGUAAAGUCUGGGAUAACUUGCUGAAAGGCGAGCUAAUACCGGAUGUGAUUGCUGGAGGGCAUCCUCUGGCACUUAAAGUCGGGGACCGCAAGGCCUGACACUUUUCGAUAAGCCCGCGGCCUAUCAGCUAGUUGGUGAGGUAACGGCUCACCAAGGCUAAGACGGGUAGCUGGUCUGAGAGGACGACCAGCCUCACUGGAACUGAGACACGGUCCAGACACCUACGGGUGGCAGCAGUCGAGAAUUUUUCUCAAUGGGGGAAACCCUGAAGGAGCGACGCCGCGUGGGGGAUGAAUGGCUUCGGCCCGUAAACCCCUGUCAUUUGCGAUCAAACCUUACGACCUAACACGUCGUAAGCUGAUAGUAGCGGAAGAGGAAGGGACGGCUAACUCUGUGCCAGCAGCCGCGGUAAUACAGAGGUCCCAAGCGUUGUUCGGAUUCACUGGGCGUAAAGGGUGCGUAGGCGGUCGGGUAAGUCUGACGUGAAAUCUUCAAGCUCAACUUGGAAACUGCGUCGAAUACUAUUCGGCUAGAGGAAUGGAGGGGAGACUGGAAUACUUGGUGUAGCAGUGAAAUGCGUAGAUAUCAAGUGGAACACCAGUGGCGAAGGCGAGUCUCUGGACAUUUCCUGACGCUGAGGCACGAAAGCCAGGGGAGCAAACGGGAUUAGAUACCCCGGUAGUCCUGGCCCU